Papaver somniferum (opium poppy) is the source of this 1403-nucleotide long non-coding RNA. RefSeq lists it as uncharacterized. Lineage: Eukaryota; Viridiplantae; Streptophyta; Magnoliopsida; Ranunculales; Papaveraceae. The record is from RefSeq and is a predicted model, not a curated record. The transcript is spliced from 3 exons.
AUGGAGCUAAACUUGAUUACUGUGGCAACAUUUGCUAUCUGGGUACUAUGUUCCUUGAUUUGCCUAAUUCUGAAAGAACUGAAAGCUCCAUGUUCUAUGUCCUAGUUGUCCGUGAUGACUGAUAGCAUAUUUUUCUGAGGUAAAACAAAUGAUGGAACCUUACUUUAGUUCUAGGUUUUUGUGUCUUCCACCUCAUCAGAGACGCGGUUAUGCAACUUUACUUGUUAGACUUGCAUGUGAGCUCAAAAGGGGUGAAGAUGGGGGUGCCUUUUCAUAUUAUAGCAAGUUCUGGAAUUGGAUCACUCUCUGGAGAGAAAUGAAACACCUCGCUGGACAAUCUUACGAACCAUCAAAAUUUAUAAUAAAAGAACCCCUAGGUGGAGGCUGCCAAUGAAUAGCUACUAGCCUAGGAAUAGAAACAGCCAGUCUCCUGGUCAGCUAUGUACCUGCAAUUGUGAGUGAUCACAGAUUGUGAUAUGUUCUUAGCUUGAAAGAUAGUAUCACAUCUGCCUGACCACAAGCCACUAUGACUCUUUUAAUUAGAGUCUCUCAGUAAGCUGAUUCAACUUCAGAUUAUCAAACCAGCCACAGAUAGUCUUCAAGAUUGAGAUUGCAUGAUGGCUGCCAACCAAUAGUUGCACUCCAAAUCGCUGUUGAGAAAUUGCACUGUAAGAUGACAUGUGAAGCUGCUUCUGGAUGUUGAGAGCAAAGGAUAGGCAGUAUCCAGAUUAGGAAUAAAGCCUGCUAGUUUAUCUCAUGUUGGUGUUCUUGAUACACACAUCCAUAAGAAUUGCCUGAUUCUUGGCAGGAUUGGGAGCUUCAUAGUCUCUUGAAAAUCUGUUGCAUUCUUUGACCAACUGAGUUAUACUGAUGUUUUUUCGUCAUAUCGUUUUAUGUGGUUAUUUAUGUAGUGGGUUUGAUUUUGCACAUCGUUUUUGAACAGGACCUCAGUAGACUGACGGGAUUACAAGUUGAAGAUGUUCGAACCACACUACUGGGUCUGAGAAGACUUGAGAGAAAACAAUGUAAGUUCAAGUAUCAUUUCAGUCUAUACAGUGGGAUCCAUGAUGAAUUCCAGACAGGCAUUGAACUUCACAAUACUGAGAACCUGGAUACCCAAGUUGAUAGAUGUCCUGAGUUUGAUGUGGAUAGUGUGAUGUCGCCUCAUCAUCAAGGAAGAAUGAAAGUUCUUAUCUUUCUGUUUCUGUCUUCCUCGUUCUGUUUAGUAACAUUUAUUCCCCGCUUUCUGUGAACACAUUAUCAUGAGAACUAGAACAGAGCUGUAGAGCAAUGCCUCGCGUAGAUGGUUGUUUUUUCCUUCUGUCACUGUAACAUUUACAGUUUCAGUUUUCUGUUUUGACUGAAAGCGUUUUGUGAAUUUUUAUAUAUAGCGCUUUGUCAAA